CCUACGGGAGGCUGCAGUGAGGAAUAUUGGUCAAUGGGCGGAAGCCUGAACCAGCCAAGUAGCGUGCAGGAUGACGGCCCUACGGGUUGUAAACUGCUUUUAUACGGGAAUAACGCGCCUUACGUGUAGGGCUUUGCAUGUACCGUAUGAAUAAGGACCGGCUAAUUCCGUGCCAGCAGCCGCGGUAAUACGGAAGGUCCGGGCGUUAUCCGGAUUUAUUGGGUUUAAAGGGUGCGGAGGCCGGAGGUUAAGUGUGCGGUGAAAUUUGCGGGCUCAACCCCGGCCAAGCGUCGGAAACUGGCGUGCUAGAGUGGGCGAGAAGUAGGCGGAAUGCGUGGUGUAGCGGUGAAAUGCAUAGAUAUCACGCAGAACUCCGAUUGCGAAGGCAGCAUGCCGGAGCCCAACUGACGCUGAGGCACGAAAGCGCGGGUAUCGAACAGGAUUAGAUACCCGGGUAGUC
Molecule: ribosomal RNA, 460 nt
Filed under: uncultured bacterium
Lineage: Bacteria
Description: partial 16S ribosomal RNA
Rfam family: Bacterial small subunit ribosomal RNA
Source: RNAcentral